AAAGGUUCCAGCAAAUUUGAUUAGUCCAAAUAUGAGGUUCAAUGGAAAUGGCUUUCUGCAUAAUGUGGGAUAUGAGGUUCAAGAUAACAAAAAUUCAUAUGCUGAUGAACAGCAAUUCCAAGACAGUUCUGAGUUCUGAGUUAAUGUCUUCAGCAGUUGAUGUUCUAGUUGGUAGAGACACGCAAGUGUCUCCCCAAGUGGU
RNAcentral lists this unclassified non-coding RNA (202 nucleotides) under Hevea brasiliensis (rubber tree). Lineage: Eukaryota; Viridiplantae; Streptophyta; Magnoliopsida; Malpighiales; Euphorbiaceae. The record is from RNAcentral.